This 461-nucleotide ribosomal RNA is filed under the name uncultured bacterium. RNAcentral's name for it is "partial 16S ribosomal RNA". It matches the Rfam family "Bacterial small subunit ribosomal RNA", at positions 338 to 795 of the family's 1533-position model. The record is from RNAcentral.
CCUACGGGUGGCAGCAGUGAGGAAUAUUGGUCAAUGGACGCAAGUCUGAACCAGCCAUGCCGCGUGCAGGAAGACGGCUCUAUGAGUUGUAAACUGCUUUUGUACGAGGGUAAACGCAGAUACGCGUAUCUGUCUGAAAGUACCGUACGAAUAAGGAUAGGCUAACUCCGUGCCAGCAGCCGCGGUAAUACGGAGGAUUCAAGCGUUAUCCGGAUUUAUUGGGUUUAAAGGGUGCGUAGGCUGGGAGGUAAGUCAGCGGUGAAAUGCCCCCGCUCAACGGGGUGAAGUGCCAUUGAUACUGUCUUGCUGGAAUGCGGAUGCGGUGGGAGGAAUGUGUGGUGUAGCGGUGAAAUGCAUAGAUAUCACACAGAACACCGAUUGCGAAGGCAGCUCACGAAUCCGCGAUUGACGCUGAUGCACGAAAGCGUGGGUAUCAAACAGGAUUAGAUACCCCGGUAGUC